GUCCCCGUAGCUCAACUGGAUAGAGCAGCGGUUUCCUAAACCGCGUAUCCCAGUUCAAGUCUGGGCGGGGGCACCA
Molecule: transfer RNA, 76 nt
Filed under: Opitutaceae bacterium EW11
Lineage: Bacteria; Pseudomonadati; Verrucomicrobiota; Opitutia; Opitutales; Opitutaceae
Description: tRNA-Arg
Rfam family: tRNA
About the family: Transfer RNA (tRNA) molecules are approximately 80 nucleotides in length. Their secondary structure includes four short double-helical elements and three loops (D, anti-codon, and T loops).
Source: RNAcentral